RNAcentral lists this ribosomal RNA (524 nucleotides) under uncultured bacterium. RNAcentral describes it as "bacterial SSU rRNA". It matches the Rfam family "Bacterial small subunit ribosomal RNA", at positions 355 to 896 of the family's 1533-position model. The record is from RNAcentral.
CAGGGAAUCUUGUCCAAUGGGCGAAAGCCUGAGACAGCGACGCCGCGUGGGGGAUGAAGGCCUCAGGGUUGUAAAGCGCUUUCGGCGGGGAAGAUGAUGACGGUACCCGCAGAAGAAGCCCCGGCUAACUCCGUGCCAGCAGCCGCGGUGAUACGGAGGGGGCAAGCGUUGUUCGGAAUUACUGGGCGUAAAGGGCGCGUAGGCGGGCGACUAAGUCAGAGGUGAAAGGCCUGGGCUCAACCUGGGAACUGCCUUUGAAACUAGUUGUCUAGAGUCCGGAAGAGGAUGGCGGAAUUCCCAGUGUAGAGGUGAAAUUCGUAGAUAUUGGGAAGAACACCAGUGGCGAAGGCGGCCAUCUGGUCCGGUACUGACGCUGAGGCGCGAAAGCGUGGGGAGCAAACAGGAUUAGAUACCCUGGUAGUCCACGCCGUAAACGAUGUGUGCUAGCCGUUGGGAAACCUAGUUUCUCGGUGGCGCAGCUAACGCGAUAAGCACACCGCCUGGGGAGUACGGUCGCAAGAUUA